ACGAACGCUGGCAGCAUGCCUAACACCUGCAAGUCGAACGAGACCUUCGGGUCUAGUGGCGCACGGGUGCGUAACGCGUGGGAACCUGCCCUUAGGUUCGGAAUAACUCCCCGAAAGGGGUGCUAAUACCGGAUAAUGUCUUCGGACCAAAGAUUUAUCGCCUUUGGAUGGGCCCGCGUUGGAUUAGCUAGUUGGUAGGGUAAAAGCCUACCAAGGCGACGAUCCAUAGCUGGUCUGAGAGGAUGAUCAGCCACACUGGGACUGAGACACGGCCCAGACUCCUACGGGAGGCAGCAGUGGGGAAUAUUGGACAAUGGGCGAAAGCCUGAUCCAGCAAUGCCGCGUGAGUGAUGAAGGCCUUAGGGUUGUAAAGCUCUUUUACCCGGGAUGAUAAUGACAGUACCGGGAGAAUAAGCUCCGGCUAACUCCGUG
RNAcentral lists this ribosomal RNA (432 nucleotides) under uncultured bacterium. Its description in RNAcentral is "partial 16S ribosomal RNA". It matches the Rfam family "Bacterial small subunit ribosomal RNA", at positions 29 to 507 of the family's 1533-position model. The record is from RNAcentral.